This 953-nucleotide long non-coding RNA is filed under the name Phoenix dactylifera (date palm). Its description in RNAcentral is "long non-coding RNA (PDAC_LNC009665)". Lineage: Eukaryota; Viridiplantae; Streptophyta; Magnoliopsida; Arecales; Arecaceae. The record is from RNAcentral.
UGAAAUUCAGAAUCUGAUUUUGUAUAAAAGCUUAAACUCAAUAUGAUUUCUAAAUAAAAUCUUAAUGUAAGAAAAACAGAAUUAAUUUUGAUGCUUUGGUUGAUUGCUCCGAUACGCAUCCGAAACAUAUCAUUUCUUAUCUUUAGAGUGUACCAAAAUUGGUCCAAAUGAUGUGUCUUUCAAUGAUCUUGAUUGCAAACAAAAAUUUCUAAAUAUAUGAUUUUAUUUUGAUAUUAAAAAGAUUUAUUGUGUUUCAUGUAUACAUUGCUGAAAAACUAUGAUUAAGAAAUUGAGUUCUAUAAAUAUAUAUACCUCAAUGAUAAUCUAUAUAUUUUUCUCUCCUACAUUCUUAAAGACUUCCAUCAGAAUAUAUAUAUAGAGUGAAUGAUCUUAAAGCUAGAAAUAUUUUAGCUCACUCAAAUGAUUCUAAAAGAAAGAAAAUGUAAAUGCUUUUGAAAGAAACUGAGCUUCAAAUGAAUCAUUUUCUGAUUAAUAUUCCUAUACAUUUUCUCUAAGAUUAAGAAAAAGCAUAACUUGUUCUUGAAGGAUUAGAAAGAGUAAUUGCUACAAAUUUUGAAUAAUGCUAGAUUACUCUACAUUCUCGAUAUCAUAGAAAAGAAUGAUUAAAGAAGAAUGCAUCUUUUGAGGGGGAGUUUUAGAUAUUCAGUAUCUCAUACCCUGAUUUUUAUGGAUUGAUUUUGAUGAACCUCCUUAUAUUGCAAAACUUGCUUUAAUUAUAUAAUAAGUUUAUACCUUGAGAUGAGUUCUAUAAAGGUUGUCUUAUCUCAAACAUUGAGUCUUAUGAAAAUAAGCUGAAACUUAUAGAAAUUUUUUUUUGAUUGACAAUUUUAUUGAACAUUAUCUUCAAAUUCUAAACUCUUAAAUAGGAACGAUCAAUUAAGGGGGAGAAAGAAAAUUUCAGAAGGAAAGAUCAUAUAGAACUUAAUCGCAUA